GUACGACGGAGCACGUGAAAUUCCGUCGGAAUCUGGGAGGACCAUCUCCUAAGGCUAAAUACUCUCUAGUGACCGAUAGUGAACCAGUACCGUGAGGGAAAGGUGAAAAGCACCCCGGAAGGGGAGUGAAAUAGAACCUGAAACCGUGUGCUUACAAGUAGUCAGAGCCCGUUAAUGGGUGAUGGCGUGCCUUUUGUAGAAUGAACCGGCGAGUUACGAUUUGAUGCAAGGUUAAGCAGUAAAUGUGGAGCCGUAGCGAAAGCGAGUCUGAAUAGGGCGUUUAGUAUUUGGUCGUAGACCCGAAACCAGGUGAUCUACCCUUGGUCAGGUUGAAGUUCAGGUAACACUGAAUGGAGGACCGAACCGACUUACGUUGAAAAGUGAGCGGAUGAACUGAGGGUAGCGGAGAAAUUCCAAUCGAACCUGGAGAUAGCUGGUUCUCUCCGAAAUAGCUUUAGGGCUAGCCUCAAGUGAUGAUUAUUGGAGGUAGAGCACUGUUUGGACGAGGGGCCCCUCUCGGGUUACCGAAUUCAGACAAACUCCGAAUGCCAAUUAAUUUAACUUGGGAGUCAGAACAUGGGUGAUAAGGUCCGUGUUCGAAAGGGAAACAGCCCAGACCACCAGCUAAGGUCCCAAAAUAUAUGUUAAGUGGAAAAGGAUGUGGCGUUGCCCAGACAACUAGGAUGUUGGCUUAGAAGCAGCCAUCAUUUAAAGAGUGCGUAAUAGCUCACUAGUCGAGUGACACUGCGCCGAAAAUGUACCGGGGCUAAACAUAUUACCGAAGCUGUGGAUUGUCCUUUGGACAAUGGUAGGAGAGCGUUCUAAGGGCGUUGAAGCAUGAUCGUAAGGACAUGUGGAGCGCUUAGAAGUGAGAAUGCCGGUGUGAGUAGCGAAAGACGGGUGAGAAUCCCGUCCACCGAUUGACUAAGGUUUCCAGAGGAAGGCUCGUCCGCUCUGGGUUAGUCGGGUCCUAAGCUGAGGCCGACAGGCGUAGGCGAUGGAUAACAGGUUGAUAUUCCUGUACCACCUAUAAUCGUUUUAAUCGAUGGGGGGACGCAGUAGGAUAGGCGAAGCGUGCGAUUGGAUUGCACGUCUAAGCAGUAAGGCUGAGUAUUAGGC
This 1119-nucleotide ribosomal RNA is filed under the name Staphylococcus aureus. RNAcentral describes it as "partial 23S ribosomal RNA". It matches the Rfam family "Bacterial large subunit ribosomal RNA", at positions 412 to 1537 of the family's 2925-position model. Lineage: Bacteria; Bacillati; Bacillota; Bacilli; Caryophanales; Staphylococcaceae. The record is from RNAcentral.